Molecule: ribosomal RNA, 424 nt
Filed under: uncultured bacterium
Lineage: Bacteria
Description: bacterial SSU rRNA
Rfam family: Bacterial small subunit ribosomal RNA
Source: RNAcentral
UAACGAAUCUUCCGCAAUGCACGCAAGUGUGACGGAGCGACGCCGCGUGGAGGACGAAGUUCUUCGGAAUGUAAACUCCUGUCAGGGGCAGCCAAGUUCUGAGGCGCCCCAGAGGAAGGCACGGCUAACUCUGUGCCAGCAGCCGCGGUAAGACAGAGGUGCCAAGCGUUAGGCGGAAUCACUGGGCUUAAAGCGUGUGUAGGCGGGCGGGCAAGUACCUUGUGAAAUCCCACGGCUCAACCGUGGAACGGCUGGGUAUACUGCCUGUCUUGAGCCAGCUAGGGGCGACCGGAACAGACGGUGGAGCGGUGAAAUGCGUAGAUAUCGUCUGGAACGCCAAAGGUGAAAACAGGUCGCUGGGGCUGAGCUGACGCUGAGACACGAAAGCCAGGGGAGCGAACGGGAUUAGAUACCCCCGUAGUCC